This 237-nucleotide ribosomal RNA is filed under the name uncultured bacterium. RNAcentral describes it as "partial 16S ribosomal RNA". It matches the Rfam family "Bacterial small subunit ribosomal RNA", at positions 32 to 243 of the family's 1533-position model. The record is from RNAcentral.
AAUCAACGCUGGCGGCGUGCCUCAGACAUGCAAGUCGAACGCGAAAGUUCCCUUCGGGGGAGUGAGUAGAGUGGCGCACGGGUGAGUAACACGUAGGUAAUCUACCUUUGGUAUGGGGAAGUAACAACCGGAAACGGUUAGCUAAUACCGCAUAAUGCAGCGGCACCUAAUGGUGACAGUUGUUAAAGCGGGGGAGUCGAAAGACCUCGCGUCUGAAGAGGAGCCUGCGGCGGAUUA